AUUGCCCCAGUAACGGCGAGUGAAGCGGCAAGAGCUCAAAUUUGAAAGCUGGCUCCUUCGGGGUCCGCAUUGUAAUUUGCAGAGGAUGCUUCGGGAGCGGUCCCCAUCUAAGUGCCCUGGAACGGGACGUCAUAGAGGGUGAGAAUCCCGUAUGGGAUGGGGUGUCCGCGCCCGUGUGAAGCUCCUUCGACGAGUCGAGUUGUUUGGGAAUGCAGCUCUAAAUGGGUGGUAAAUUUCAUCUAAAGCUAAAUAUUGGCCGGAGACCGAUAGCGCACAAGUAGAGUGAUCGAAAGAUGAAAAGCACUUUGAAAAGAGAGUUAAAAAGCACGUGAAAUUGUUGAAAGGGAAGCGCUUGCGACCAGACUCGCUCGCGGGGUUCAGCCGGCAUUCGUGCCGGUGUACUUCCCCGCGGGCGGGCCAGCGUCGGUUUGGGCGGUCGGUCAAAGGCCCUCGGAAGGUAACUCCCCUAGGGGCGUCUUAUAGCCGAGGGUGCAAUGCGACCUGCCUAGACCGAGGAACGCGCUUCGGUUUGUACGCUGGCAUAAUGGUCGUAAGCGACCCGUCUUGAAACACGGACCCAAGGAGUCUUACAUCUACUCGAGUGUUCGGGGUGUCAAACCCGUUCGCGAAGUGAAAGCGAACGGAGGUGGGAACCCUUACGGGUGCACCAUCGACCGAUCCUGAAGUCUUCGGAUGGAUUUGAGUAAGAGUCGUAGCUGUUGGGACCCGAAAGAUGGUGAACUAUGCCUGAAUAGGGCGAAGCCAGAGGAAACUCUGGUGGAGGUCUCGUAGCGGUUCUGACGUGCAAAUCGAUCGUCGAAUUGGGUAUAGGGGCGAAA
This 839-nucleotide ribosomal RNA is filed under the name Penicillium aurantiogriseum. Its description in RNAcentral is "eukaryotic LSU rRNA". It matches the Rfam family "Eukaryotic large subunit ribosomal RNA", at positions 74 to 928 of the family's 3401-position model. Lineage: Eukaryota; Fungi; Ascomycota; Eurotiomycetes; Eurotiales; Aspergillaceae. The record is from RNAcentral.